Molecule: long non-coding RNA, 376 nt
Organism: Cinclus cinclus
Lineage: Eukaryota; Metazoa; Chordata; Aves; Passeriformes; Cinclidae
Exons: 3
Source: RefSeq, a predicted model, not a curated record
CAGGCUUGUCAAUGGUGUCAUUGUUUAAACCUGCUGAAGAAUAAACAUGCAGCUCCUUCAAGACCUGUGACAGCUGUGCAGGCACAGCAACCUGACUUGCAAAACAAACAGGCUACUCCAAUUGUGGGACAGGUGACAGGACAGGAAAAAUUCUCCUAGAACUGCUGAUGUGAAACGUAAGGACGGGUCUGAUUUGGAGCAUAAGCAACUUGUUUCUGUCAUCAGCCAUGAGCUACUGCACAGAAGGAGAGGAAAAGCCACCAAGACAGAAGUACAGAGAACCAUGCAGGAGAUAUCCGGCCACUUCCUGGGAAGCAGAGCUUCAGUACACAGAGCAGCUGCUCCAGAAGACGGAUGAUUUAAUAAGAAAUGCCCC